CUUAUGAUAAGGGCUGGGGAAAAAGACAGUCUUUGGACUUGUGGGAAGCCUUUACCAGCUUCCAUGAGCAGGUCUGAUGGAAGAAGGCAAAAUGGCACUGUUGUAUUUCCUCUGUGCAAGAUGAAAAGCCUGGGGAAUCCCAUUCAGCAGCAGCUGUGUGAACCUAAAGUGCAUCCAUCUGAAGCUCUUGCCAAACUUCUGCCAUCCUACACUGAAAGCUUCACACUGGAUAGAGGAGAUGAUAUUUAGGAAGGAGAUAUCUAUAUGUGUUAAUAAGAGGAAACUGCGGAGCACUAAUGGAACUGUCAAGAGGAAAAACACCAGCAGACCACAUGAAACCUAGCAGAAGGUCCCCUGGCAGAGCUGCAGGAGCAAAGGCUCAGAACAGGCACCAGGGAAGGGAAGGCAGAGGGAUAGACUUCAUUUUUGCCAGAACCACAAGAUCUAUUGGAUUAAUGCUUUUGGUAUCAUUGCUCCAACCAGCCUCACUAGGGUUGGUGACCAAUUGCAUCCUUAUGAAGUUCCAGUACAUGUAUUUAUUUUUACAUGUACAUAGGUUCCUUGUAAUUGGUAUUCAGCAAGGUCUGCAACUGAGAUGUGUGUCAGGUGGAGCUGCCAGGAAGUCUUUGCUGAAAGGGUUGGAGGUGCUUUUAUGACUCUCAGAUAGAAAUCCAAGCUCGAGAUACAAAACUAUUAUUCAUCAUAAAAUAUUGCUAACACUGAAGAACAUUCUCAAGCAUUUCACUGGAUUUUAUGCUGGAGUGAAGGAAAUGAACUGUUCAGGGGUUGUGUAAUUGUUAUUAAAAGGUUCUUCAACAUACAUAAAAAUUAUACCUGAGCUGAAACUGUUCAUUAAAGAUGAGUGAAAACUACUGAAGUGGGCUGUUCUUUUUCCCCUGGAUAUCACUACAGGCCUUCUUAAUAUAUUACACAGAUACUAAUUUGUUUGCCUUGGAGGUCUGUGAUAAUUCGUCAGUGAAGUGAGUUUCCAGAGAAAAUGGAAAAUAGGAAUAAAUGAGAAGAGAAGAAUAAUGAGAUUUGCUGG
RNAcentral lists this long non-coding RNA (1045 nucleotides) under Anser brachyrhynchus (Pink-footed goose). RNAcentral's name for it is "lncRNA (ENSABRG00000008074.1)". The record is from RNAcentral. Lineage: Eukaryota; Metazoa; Chordata; Aves; Anseriformes; Anatidae.